Molecule: ribosomal RNA, 254 nt
Filed under: uncultured bacterium
Lineage: Bacteria
Description: partial 16S ribosomal RNA
Rfam family: Bacterial small subunit ribosomal RNA
Source: RNAcentral
UACGUAGGGUGCAAGCGUUAAUCGGAAUUACUGGGCGUAAAGCGUGCGCAGGCGGUUAUGUAAGACAGAUGUGAAAUGCCCGGGCUUAACCUGGGAACUGCAUUUGUGACUGCAUGGCUAGAGUUUGGCAGAGGGGGGUAGAAUUCCACGUGUAGCAGUGAAAUGCGUAGAUAUGUGGAGGAACACCGAUGGCGAAGGCAGCCCCCUGGGUCAAGACUGACGCUCAUGCACGAAAGCGUGGGGAGCAACAAGGA